CUGAUGCGUUGUUGGGUAGGGGAGCGUUCUGUAAGCCUGCGAAGGUGUGCUGUGAGGCAUGCUGGAGGUAUCAGAAGUGCGAAUGCUGACAUAAGUAACGAUAAAGCGGGUGAAAAGCCCGCUCGCCGGAAGACCAAGGGUUCCUGUCCAACGUUAAUCGGGGCAGGGUGAGUCGACCCCUAAGGCGAGGCCGAAAGGCGUAGUCGAUGGGAAACAGGUUAAUAUUCCUGUACUUGGUGUUACUGCGAAGGGGGGACGGAGAAGGCUAUGUUGGCCGGGCGACGGUUGUCCCGGUUUAAGCGUGUAGGCUGGUUUUCCAGGCAAAUCCGGAAAAUCAAGGCUGAGGCGUGAUGACGAGGCACUACGGUGCUGAAGCAACAAAUGCCCUGCUUCCAGGAAAAGCCUCUAAGCAUCAGGUAACAUCAAAUCGUACCCCAAACCGACACAGGUGGUCAGGUAGAGAAUACCAAGGCGCUUGAGAGAACUCGGGUGAAGGAACUAGGCAAAAUGGUGCCGUAACUUCGGGAGAAGGCACGCUGAUAUGUAGGUGAGGUCCCUCGCGGAUGGAGCUGAAAUCAGUCGAAGAUACCAGCUGGCUGCAACUGUUUAUUAAAAACACAGCACUGUGCAAACACGAAAGUGGACGUAUACGGUGUGACGCCUGCCCGGUGCCGGAAGGUUAAUUGAUGGGGUCAGCGCA
RNAcentral lists this ribosomal RNA (700 nucleotides) under Escherichia coli. Its description in RNAcentral is "partial 23S ribosomal RNA". It matches the Rfam family "Bacterial large subunit ribosomal RNA", at positions 1213 to 1897 of the family's 2925-position model. The record is from RNAcentral. Lineage: Bacteria; Pseudomonadati; Pseudomonadota; Gammaproteobacteria; Enterobacterales; Enterobacteriaceae.